UAAUACGGAGGGUGCAAGCAUUGAUCGGAAUUACUGGGCGUAAAGGGCGCGUAGGCGGCUGUUUAAGUCAGAUGUGAAAUUCCGGGGCUCAACCCCGGAGCUGCAUCCGAAACUGGACAGCUAGAGUGUAGUUAGGGAGAACGGAAUUCCACGUGUAGCGGUGAAAUGCGUAGAUAUGUGGAAGAACACCGGUGGUGAAGACGGUUCUCUGGGCUAUAACUGACGCUGAGGCGCGAAAGCAUGGGGAGCAAACAGG
Molecule: ribosomal RNA, 256 nt
Filed under: uncultured bacterium
Lineage: Bacteria
Description: partial 16S ribosomal RNA
Rfam family: Bacterial small subunit ribosomal RNA
Source: RNAcentral